Long non-coding RNA from Marmota monax (woodchuck), 3918 nucleotides. RefSeq lists it as uncharacterized. NCBI's taxonomy places the organism in Eukaryota, Metazoa, Chordata, Mammalia, Rodentia, Sciuridae. The record is from RefSeq and is a predicted model, not a curated record. The transcript has 4 exons.
ACACUGGUUCUCAGCCUGAGGCCCUUGCGACAUCCAGGGCCCCAUCCGGUUCCCAUUGCAGAGUGAGAAAUUCAUCCGGCGGCAAUUCUGCGCCAGCACCUUCCUGCCUGAGUUUCCCUUUCCCAUCUUACACACUCGCCCUCCCCGUUGACUAGCGCCUGGCAGGUUUCCAGAGGUAUCCGGUUCCAGGAGAGAAAAUACACAGGUCGUGUGUAAGGACUAAAUAGAACCCUUCCUUGGAAACAGCCUUUGUCAGGUGUCCGAGAAACCGUCCUGCCUUCAUCCGCAGUGUCGUCCUGCAUCUGUGGCUUCCAGACUGACAGCUGCAUCCAGGUGCCUCUGGCCUGCUGUGACAGGGGCCUAUUUUAAGCCAGCGAUCUUCAGCAACUUUACAGAAUUGUGAAACCAACACCACAGCAUAAGUUCAGGACAUUUCUUCAACCCGAGAAGACCCUGUCUGUGUGUGGUCCUUCUCACUCCCUCCCCAGCAGCCAUCUUUCUGUGAGAAAGCAGGUGGUCGUGUUGGGAUCCACUUGGAGGGUGGCCUCCAGCCAGCCACCAGCAGCCAGCGGAAACCAAGUUCUACAACAACCCGCAGAGAGGGGAAGGGUCCUUGCCCUGUCAGGCCACCGGCUGAGACCCAUUCCUGUUGCUGCCUCUCCUGCGAGCUUGAGAGACCCAGGCAGACAUCCUGUGGGGCUUCGCUGGGACUCUGGACCCACAGAGGUGGGUGCUAUCAUAAAUGUCCUUCUUUAAGCUGCUGAUUUUGUGGUAAUGUUGUCACAGCUAUAGAAAACGAACACAUUUCUCCUCGGGGACCCACCUGAGUUCCCCAUUGCCACUCCAGUCCACGUCCCCAACUCUCCUCCCAGCCCACUGCCUGCCUCGCUUCUGAUCUCGCCAUUGUGUCCUGGGCCUGGGCAGUGGCCUCCUGUGGACGUCCCUGCCAUGGUGCCCGUCACCUGUCAGUGCCAGCUGCACCCUGAUACCCAGAAAUCUGUGUAAACCUGGUGAUGUCCCUACCCCACACGGCUGCCGAGGAAGGCCAGGGUCCCUGCUUCAGCUGGCAAGGGUCUCAUCAUCCAGUCCCCACAUCCCUCCCCAGACAGCUCUGCCCCUCCUGCCACAUACCCGGGCUCCAGCCACUCUGAACAACUGGGCAGCCAUCCUCGGACAUUCUGGCUGGUCCCCGCUCUGUGAUGGUGCGUCUCUUGCCCUCCCAGCCUGGAAUGCCUCUCCACCUCUUCUCAGCCUGAAAAACACAUUCAUUCUUCAAAAUCCCAGGUCCUAGGUCACCUCUCUUUGGAGCCUUCUGAGGACUCCUGACAGGGAUUUGGGGCUUCGGUGGCCCACUACUCUCCUGUCUGGCUACCUGGUGUCCUCCAGUGGCCCCCAGUGAGCAGACCUCUGGAUCGGCUUUGCCACGGGUCUUCUUCUCCUGGCCUUCGGCCUUAGCACCUGAAGUCCCUGGUAUUGAGCAGACCUCUUCCGCGUGAAUAGGUGACUGUCCUCUCAGUUAAGGGCUGAGCACUGCCACACAGGAGCCAGAAGCCCAAUGGGACAGUGGCCACGGGCUUCCACAGGCCUCGUGGUUUCCGGGGAGCUGGUGUGCAGGUCGGGCUGAGUGGCAGCACCUGGAGAGGCGAGUUCCAGACUUUGGGGCUUGCUGUGAUCUGCUCUGCAGAUCUGGAGGUGACAGUUCUCCUGCUCUCCUGAGGAGGGUACCUAUGAGAUUGUCACCUCUGCAGCCACCUGGAAGUCCCCCUCCGUCCCCUGCUGGUGGACCCAACUCUUGGAGAAACACCAAUUAAAGUUCAAAUGAUUCGGAAGACAGGAAGGACUUGCGUGCCUCCCGCGCCCCCGCCUGGCCGGGCUCUGAGGCUUCCUCCUUUAUUUGCUUUCUGUUUCCCCAGCCAGAGUGCAAGCCCAGAGGGGGGGGGGGGGGGCUGGGCUGUGAGCCUCUCUGCAGUCUGAGCUGGGACGCCCCUGGGCACUGGGGUGGCUCUGGAAUAACUCCGAGGUCCGCCCUGCCCACCUUCCUUCCUGCCCUGCCUUCUCACAUUUGCCCCUGGCUUAAAGCUUCCACUGUCUCCUGUCCCCUUAGGAUAAAGGAACAUGAUCUUUACUUCUAGAAAAUUUCCAUUUUAUCAGUUUAUCCCAGAUUAAGGAAUUAUAAAAAUCCUCCCAUGUGGAUUAUCCUUAAACCUAACCCAAAUGUAACCCCGGCUCUGACUCUGCAGUCUGAGACCGGGAAUCGCUCUUCCCGGAGCCCUUUCAUUUUAGAAGACGUUUCCGGCGUGUCUUCCUAUGUGCUACGAAGAAGGAUUCCUGCUUGACCGUUGCUGGGACGCUCCUCUGGUUUAUCAGGACGUCAGGGGUAUAGGAUGGGAGUGUGAAGGUCAAAAGAACCUUGGAGCUGGAGGGAAGAGAGGCUCCUCCCAUCAGUGUCUACUGGGCUGUGAGGCUGUCCCCUGGGGGCCAGCUGGUGGAGUGAGAAACACCAGCAAGGACAGCUGGUGGCUUCCCAGCCCCACUGACCUGCAGCUCUUCACCGGACUGCUCACCUUCCUGUGAAGAGUCUUGGGGUGGAAUCAAGACAAGCAGGUGUGGGGCUCUGAGCCAGGUCGUGGCUGUGUGCCCUGCAAGGUCCCGAGGGUCCAUGUUUCCUUAUGUCAUUGCUUCCUGUCACCGUGCCAGUGGGAUGGGAUGGGAGUGCCUUCCCCGCUCUUGUAGGGAGGCCACGUGAACGCGCCCCUCCCCGGCCCAGCACUACUCGCAUCAUAUGUGUUUCCUAAGACCUGAAAAUGACCCCUCUGGGUCCCCAAGGACACCCUCAUUUGGAGUUUUGCCCUGCCUGCUCCUUCCAGCACCACAUGAAGCUUUUGUCUGGUGGCUCAAAAGCAAAUGCUGCUCCUUGUCCACUCGGGGAAGGGCCUGGAGAGCGCGCGGGCUCAGGGCGUGCGUGUCCUUUCAGGGCUAGGCGUGAGUGGCGGAGGUGGUUUACGCCCCUGUCCAAAGUAUUCUUGGGGCACUGGGGCCCGUGCUGUGGGGCAGGAGACCUGUGCCACUGAAAUGCCCUCAUGUCACACAGACACGGAGCCCUUCUCUCAGGCAGCCCUGGGCAGCGGGGCCAGGAUGGCAAGUGCCGUGCCCGGGAGCAUGGGAAGUGGUGAGGUUCACACGACACUUCAAAUGGACAGUCAUGUCCUACCUGGGGAGGCACAGGAUGCGUCCCAGGAGGGGCAACUGUUGGGAAAGGGGACUCAGUCAGGAAAGGGCAACUGCUCUUGUCUUGUCUUAGCAGUGUCACCUCCACUCUGUCUGCCCCUCCUGUCCCUUGGUCCAGGUACCAAAGCACCAGAGCACGGUAGCCUCCCAGAGCGGCCCCUUGUCUGCGGCUCUGCAGCGGGCAGCCCCCGGGAAGCACCUGGCUCCACUCUGAGAAGCUCGCGGUGCAGCUGCAGGUCCUGUUCUCAAGUCCGCCUCCUUCUCUGCCCUACCAAGCAGGCAUUUGAUUUGGUCUUCGAGGACCUCCCGGAUGCCCACAAAGUGGACAUACUACAGUCCUGCAGACGGGAGCCCCUCUCAUCGUGAUCACUAGGUGCCCAGGGUCUCCAGGGGCCAUGCAGACAGACAACUGCCACCUGCGGAUCUCCUAGAUGUCUGCCCUGUCCUCCGGUUAGCCAAUGGCCCAUGGAAAGUCUGGGCUCCCAUCUUUGCUUUUAUGGAGACAGUUAGCUUCAUCUUCCUUUCCCUUUGGCCUGUGGAGGUCCUCUGCUCUCAGUGAGGGUUUUGCUAAUUUGCUGAUGCUGGCCUGGAACUUGCAAUCCUCCUGCCUCAGCCUCCGGAGUAGCUGGGGCUACAGGGCUGGCUGCUGGGCCUGGCUUCCCUCGGACCUUCCCUCUUCCUUCUUCCCCC